AAUGGGAAAGGCCUUGUCAGGGCUGUCUGGGUGGUAGCUUUGCUACAGCAGGAACUUCUCCUGUGGAUCUGCUUCUUUCCCGUUCCAUGCUCCUGGUGUCUUUGUGCCCAAGUCCAUCAGAUGGAGUUUGUGGGGCAGAACGGAAGCCAACAGCAGCGUGAGCAGAGCUACCUGACUGUCCGUGACUCCAAGGGAGAAAUAAGUGCUGUAAAACGGAAAAAGACCAGCAAAAUACAAAAUAUGUGGUCAGCGAGACAAGAAACACAAAACACAAGGGCUGUGGUGCAGAAAGAGAUCACUUCUGACUCAGGAAUCACAGAACAUCUAGAAGGAACGAACAUUUCCAUGAUCAGUUAUUUCAGGAGACGAAAGCCCAGUCGUACACAAAUUGUGCUCCUCCCUGGAUGCUACUGCAGACAAAGAGCAGCUGGAACUCUCAAGACUUCCCCAGAUGUGCCCUUUGCCCCAGCUGUGAAGUGGACAAGCCUCUGGCGCUGACAUCAUUCUCGGAGCAGAAGGAAGUGGGCAGGGAGAUCAUGAACUGACUGGAGCAACCCUGCGGUGAUAGCUUUAGUUGAAACUGACUCAAUUUUCUAGAUUUGGGAAGAAUGGGGGGCCCAGAUAGACUUGACUUUCAAUUAUAGGAAAAUAUAGGCAGUUAGGUUUCUGGGCCCUGCGUGUCACACUGCACAACGAAAGGGAACAGCUCCACCGAACGAGCGUAAUCUUAGAGAGCCAGGGGCUUAGGUUCCCGACCAGAUGGCUUGCCCCCUUAGAUAACUAUUCCAUUUGCUUAAAAAAGGCCAGCAAGUUUUCCAUAUGCAGUGUGAUGACCAAGUGCCAAGGAAAAACACCAAACCCCAGAGAAAAAUCAACACCCCUGCUUUUUUCUAUAUUUAAGCCUUGCUUUGGAAAUGAGGAAUUUCCUCCCAAACAUCUCUAUGAAAACAUCUCUACCCACACACUCCGCUUUUUGAAAGAAUGUGCAUUUGAAAAAGAAAACCUGAAUGUACCUUUACCACAAUAUGCUGAGACAGACCACACACACCUGGUGAAAUUACAC
Molecule: long non-coding RNA, 1063 nt
Organism: Bos taurus (domestic cattle)
Lineage: Eukaryota; Metazoa; Chordata; Mammalia; Artiodactyla; Bovidae
Source: Ensembl